Molecule: long non-coding RNA, 114 nt
Organism: Etheostoma cragini (Arkansas darter)
Lineage: Eukaryota; Metazoa; Chordata; Actinopteri; Perciformes; Percidae
Exons: 3
Source: RefSeq, a predicted model, not a curated record
UCUGUACACUAAGUAUAAUGCUAGUUAUCUUGGCCAGUUAACUUAGCAUAACAUAAAGACUGGAAACAAGAGAAACAGCUCGCCUGGCUCUGUCUAAAGGUAACAAAGUGGGCU